GGCAGGCCUAACACAUGCAAGUCGAACGGCUCUUCGGAGCAGUGGCGGACGGGUGAGUAACGCGUGGGAACGUGCCCUUUGGUUCGGAACAACACAGGGAAACUUGUGCUAAUACCGGAUGAGCCCUUCGGGGGAAAGAUUUAUCGCCAUUGGAGCGGCCCGCGUUGGAUUAGGUAGUUGGUGGGGUAAAGGCCCACCAAGCCGACGAUCCAUAGCUGGUCUGAGAGGAUGAUCAGCCACACUGGGACUGAGACACGGCCCAGACUCCUACGGGAGGCAGCAGUGGGGAAUCUUGCGCAAUGGGCGAAAGCCUGACGCAGCCAUGCCGCGCGAAUGAUGAAGGUCUUAGGAUUGUAAAAUUCUUUCACCGGGGAAGAUAAUGACGGUACCCGGAGAAGAAGCCCCGGCUAACUUCGUGCCAGCAGCCGCGGUAAUACGAAGGGGGCUAGCGUUGCUCGGAAUUACUGGGCGUAAAGGGCGCGUAGGCGGACAGUUUAGUCAGAGGUAAAAGCCCAGGGCUCAACCUUGGAACUGCCUUUGAUACUGGCUGUCUUGAGUUCGGGAGAGGUGAGUGGAAUGCCGAGUGUAGAGGUGAAAUUCGUAGAUAUUCGGCGGAACACCAGUGGCGAAGGCGACUCACUGGCCCGAUACUGACGCUGAGGCGCGAAAGCGUGGGGAGC
RNAcentral lists this ribosomal RNA (680 nucleotides) under uncultured Alphaproteobacteria bacterium. RNAcentral's name for it is "bacterial SSU rRNA". It matches the Rfam family "Bacterial small subunit ribosomal RNA", at positions 41 to 769 of the family's 1533-position model. Lineage: Bacteria; Pseudomonadati; Pseudomonadota; Alphaproteobacteria. The record is from RNAcentral.